GCGAUCAUACCAGCACUAAUGCACCGGAUCCCAUCAGAACUCCGAAGUUAAGCGUGCUUGGGCGAGAGUAGUACUAGGAUGGGUGACCCCCUGGGAAGUCCUCGUGUUGCACCA
This 114-nucleotide ribosomal RNA is filed under the name Salvia splendens (bonfire salvia). Lineage: Eukaryota; Viridiplantae; Streptophyta; Magnoliopsida; Lamiales; Lamiaceae. The record is from RNAcentral.